RNAcentral lists this small nuclear RNA (132 nucleotides) under Opisthocomus hoazin. Its description in RNAcentral is "U11 spliceosomal RNA". It matches the Rfam family "U11 spliceosomal RNA". The record is from Rfam by way of RNAcentral. Lineage: Eukaryota; Metazoa; Chordata; Aves; Opisthocomiformes; Opisthocomidae.
AAAAAGGGCUUCUGCCAUGUGUGGCACGGGGCGAGGCCGUGCGGUUGCCCCCACGGAAUCGACAUCAAGAGAUUUUGGAAACACAAUUUUUGUAGGUAGGGGUCACUGGUAACCGCCUGUUCUGGCGUUUAA